Long non-coding RNA from Rhododendron vialii, 920 nucleotides. RefSeq lists it as uncharacterized. NCBI's taxonomy places the organism in Eukaryota, Viridiplantae, Streptophyta, Magnoliopsida, Ericales, Ericaceae. The transcript is spliced from 2 exons. The record is from RefSeq and is a predicted model, not a curated record.
AACUGUCUAAAUCGUUUGAUACAUGUGGGUCAGGCAAAACACAAUUUAGAUAGAAAUGGUUAUUCUGGGGAGUCGACAUGUAUUGGACUGCUCCAAAAUCACAACUUUGAUAGCAUAGGGGUACAAGAGUCAUUUAGCAUUUUCUGUUAAUGGUAUUAGCGAUGCACUUUACUCCAAAAUCAUAAGGGAGCGAAUUGGUUAUUAAUAAAACUCAGGAAAAUUAUCUGCAAAACGGCCAAAUCAUAGGGAGGUAAUACGUACUUUGUCCAACAUUUUUAUAGGAAUUUGUCCACAUAAGUCUAAUUAAUUUUCUAUUCACUCCUUUUAAACAAGGUUUCUUGUUAAGUUUCUUGACCAAGAGAACCAACCGCAGCUCUCUGUCAACUAGAAUUUCCCAUCCAGUACUCACCAGACUAAGAAACAAUGGGCAGUGAAGCACCGAGCUGGGCUGAUCAAUGGGGCAAAGGUGGCGUUGGCGCAAUGGGAGACGAAGACAACGGAACGACAGAGAAAGAGAGUGGAAGUAACAAGAAGGCGUCCGGCACUUCGGCUGGGCUGAGUAAAGCCAAAUCAGUAGCCAUGGCCGGGGCACAGAAGGUCAAGAGCGGGACCGUGGCCGGGGCGCAGAAGGUCAAGAGCGGGACUUCGACGGGCUUCAACUGGAUCAAGAACAAAUGCCAAAAGAAGAACUCUCCCGAAUAGCGUAAAUCGUUGUGUGUUUUUUCGACGCACUUUGUGUGAAAUAGUACGUGAUUUGAAGGAGAUAAUGCCAAUUUGAUUUCUUUGUUUUUCCUAGAGGUUUUUUAGUUGAUUUCUUCAUGUGAUCGGGUGUACGUAUGUCAUUACUUGUACUGUGUUUGGCUGUGAAUUUGAUCGUCAAAUAGGAAUUAUCUCAGUGAAUCUUCCUUUGAUUGACAAAA